AUACGUAGGGAGCGAGCGUUGUCCGGAAUUACUGGGCGUAAAGGGCGCGCAGGCGGCGCUUCAAGUCGUCUGUCAAAUGGGAGGGCUUAACCCUUUUUCGCAGACGAAACUGGAGAGCUUGAGAAGCAGAGAGGCAAACAGAAUUCCUGGUGUAGCGGUGAAAUGCGUAGAUAUCAGGAAGAAUACCAGUGGCGAAGGCGGUUUGCUGGCUGCAUACUGACGCUGAAGCGCGAAAGCCAGGGGAGCAAACGGGAUUAGAUACCCCGGUAGUCCUGGCAGUAAACGAUGUAUGCUGGGUGUGAGACUAGCGAUAGUUUCGUGCCGAAGUUAACGCGAUAAGCAUACCGCCUGGGGAGUACGGUCGCAAGAUUGAAACUCAAAGGAAUUGACGGGG
RNAcentral lists this ribosomal RNA (394 nucleotides) under uncultured bacterium. Its description in RNAcentral is "partial 16S ribosomal RNA". It matches the Rfam family "Bacterial small subunit ribosomal RNA", at positions 523 to 918 of the family's 1533-position model. The record is from RNAcentral.